Long non-coding RNA from Nycticebus coucang (slow loris), 1553 nucleotides. RefSeq lists it as uncharacterized. NCBI's taxonomy places the organism in Eukaryota, Metazoa, Chordata, Mammalia, Primates, Lorisidae. The transcript has 3 exons. The record is from RefSeq and is a predicted model, not a curated record.
CCUCGCCUCCGGCAGCCAUGGCAACCGCAGCCGGGCCUGUGCGCGCCGAGGGCAGCUGGGGCACGCGGCCCAGCCGCCGGGGCCGCCACGCGCUCCCGGAGACAAGCCAGACCCAGGCCUCCGUCCCGGGCUUAGCUGGAGCCUUGCGCGCAUCCCCAUGCCCGUCCCCGGUCCCGUGAACACAGGCUGUGCCUGUGAGUGCAGGAAAGGUGCGAGGUGCUGGCUUCCCUUCUGUCACCCUCGAGCGGAGCUCCAAGCGCCUAACGUGGAGAUGAACACCCAGCAGGGACCCUUGCUGGCUGAGAGAGGCUGUUUCCACUGUCAUCCUAAAGCCUACUCCAGGCCUGCAUCUCAGCCUUCUCCAGGGUAGCUCUGUGCCCACGUGCUUCAUGCUGUCUGGUGCUGUGUCUGAAGCCAAAUCCAGCCACUGUCCUCCCACCAGGCUCAGGGCUUUCCUGGCUCUGUGGAUGGCACCAAAGACCUCUGCAUGUUCCAUCUUGGACUCCCACAUCACUCAUUCCAGGUCCCCGCUGGGCCAAGUUCUUCCCAACUGACCUGCUUCUUCAUCUCUCCCACCAGCACUACCGCCUUUAGUAAAAGGCGAAAGAUUUAUACAAUCUGAAGAGAAGCCAGAGUAUAGCACUACUGCCUUUAGGAUGCCUCCUCGCCUCCUAUUCUUUGCUUCCCUCCAUACACCCUGCACACGGGAACCAGCACUCAUCACCCCACCUUCACCCUGGGCGAAGUUCAGGCUCCACGUCCACUCAUCUUCACCCGGCAGCUGCCAGGCACACACAAGGGUCUGUGCCAGGUUAAGCCUAGCACUCAGGGCCUCUCAGGUCCGGUUCCUUCCUACAGUGUUCUUGCCAACCUGAGCCACCCACAAGUGCCUGGCCCUUCCCUGCAUCAGAAAUGUCCCCAUCCCAAUGCUGGAGACCCACUACAAAGGCUACUGCCCCAAGACUCUCUAGUCUCCAGCCUAUAGCUUCCUGGUCCAGCAGCCUUCUCUGCCCUGCAUGCUGUGGUAGGGCCUCAGCCUACCCAGCUGAGCUCUGCCUGGAGUGGGCAGCUACAAACACCUGCAAUCACCUAUGAGCCCUGUAGGGAAAGGACAUGGGAAAAAGGAAGUUGACCAGAAACCUGUGGGUAGAGGAGAGGCCUGAUGUUGGGGAAUCCCUUGGACCUCAGGGACCCCUCCUGGGGGACCCCUGGUGAGGCCCAAGGGAGACCAAGGCCAGAGUGGGCCAAGGGUCCAGAGGAUGCAGUGUGAUGUAGAGGGCAGAGGUGUCUGUUGUGACUGUUGCUGGGCAGGUGGGCCUAGCAUGGUGCCUGGCAUGUCCCAGUCAGUCCAGACAUGACACCAAACAUGGAGCUGUUGGUAACUUCUACUGACCUAGGCAGAGGGUAGAAGACUCCUUCUCCUCCACGGAGAAGGGGGCAUGGGCACUGUACAGCCACCAAGUGGGGAGGAUGAGUAGGGUGGGGGAAGAGGAACCCCCACCCUGCUUGGGGGAGGGCCUGGGCAAGCUGGCCUCAGAUGGCUGCCAUGGCCA